This 355-nucleotide ribosomal RNA is filed under the name uncultured bacterium. RNAcentral's name for it is "partial 16S ribosomal RNA". It matches the Rfam family "Bacterial small subunit ribosomal RNA", at positions 338 to 710 of the family's 1533-position model. The record is from RNAcentral.
CCUACGGGAGGCUGCAGUGGGGAAUAUUGCACAAUGGGGGAAACCCUGAUGCAGCGACGCCGCGUGAGUGAAGAAGUAAUUCGUUAUGUAAAGCUCUAUCAGCAUGGAAGAAAAUGACGGUACCUGAGUAAGAAGCCCUGGCCAACUACGUGCCAGCAGCAGCGGUAAUACGUAGGGGGCAAGCGUUAUCCGGAUUUACUGGGUGUAAAGGGAGCGUAGACGGCAGUGCAAGUCUGGAGUGAAAGGCGGGGGCUCAACCGCCGAACUGCUGUGGAAACUGUACGGCUGGAGUGCAGUAGAGGUAAGUGGAAUUCGUGGUGUAGCGGUGAAAUGCGUAGAUAUUAGGAGGAACACC